This 105-nucleotide small nuclear RNA is filed under the name Physeter macrocephalus (sperm whale). The record is from RNAcentral. Lineage: Eukaryota; Metazoa; Chordata; Mammalia; Artiodactyla; Physeteridae.
GUGCUCGCUUCGGCAGCACAUAUACUAAAAUUGGAACGAUACAGAGAUUUAGCAUGGACCCUGUGCAAGGAUGACACGCAAAUUCGUGAAGCAUUCCAUAUUUUU